AGUUCCAGGAGCGGGACACGCGCACACCCUUGAAUCUACACUCGAGCGCGGAUGCACUGUGGGCAAACGCCGCCCUUCGUGACCGCACCUCCUCUCUCACGUUCGGUGGGCCGCAAAAGCGCCUGCCCCAGCACGCGCACGUGUAGGGCGCAGUGAGUGCAGCGGGCCUCUUGCCCUUCUUUCUACUUCAUAGACUCACCCACAUUCUCAUCACGCACAGAGACUACGCGUGAGCGCCAAAGGCGUACCUCUCUAUUUCCUUGGCAUACACUGCAAGUGGGCUCGUUAUGCGUCAGACCACUUUCGAGCGCUUCGUUGAACACAAGGCCCAGGAAGGCGGUCCGAGUGGGACCGCCGCCCCGCGUGAGGAAGGCAAGAAGGCAACUACCGAUGCAAACCGCGAAGAUCGAAAGCGGCCCCGGGAGGAGGAGAAGGUAGCGGGCUCUUAUGUAUCGAGCACUCCGGCCUCGAACGCCGCCUCUCGUCUGCGGACAAGCUGGAAUGAGCCAACGAAUGCCUACUACGCACAACACGUUGCAGAAUACAAGGCGCUGGUCGCUGAUGUGCCGCCGCCGACGGCGACGUCCAUGGCGAAACUCUUCCAGGAGUCCUCCUUCGAUCCUGUGACGACGUUCGAGGCAGUAUGGUUGCCUCCCCGGGUCCCUGUCGCGCCGCCUACCGCUGGCGCAUCUGAGCCGGUGCCGUUUGCGGCAGUAGUGGACGUGCUGGCAGACAUCAGCGCCACCGGCUCGCGGCUUGAGUGCUUGAAGCAGCUCACCUUUCUUCUGCUUGCUGUUAUCGAGCGGUGCCCAGAGGACUUGGUGCCGGUGAUGUACCUGGUGAUUAACAAGCAUGCGCCGCAGCACGAGGGCGUGGAGCUAGGCAUCGGCGAUGCGGUACUGGUGAAGGCGGUGGCCGAGUGCUGCGGCAUGACGGAGGCCCGAGCCAAAGAGGCGUACCGGCAGAGCGGCGAUUUGGCGGAAAUCGCGCAGAUGCACAAGCAGAAGCAAAGCACGCUCAUGAAGCCGAAGCCGCUCUCCGCUCGGAGCGUGUUCAAGACAUACAAGGAGAUCGCGAUGAUGAGCGGCAGGGAUGUGAUGCGGCGGCGGUCAGACUUGAUCAAGGGACUUUUGCGCGACGCACAGGGCCCGGAGGUGAACUUGAUUGUGCGUGGGCUUCAGCAGAAGAUGCGCAUCGGCCUUGCUGAGCCAUCCGCCUUGGCAGCUGUGGGGUACGCCUUCGCUCUUCACUUCCUCGGAGGCGCGCAAAUGCACAAGAUGGACGAGGUGCAGCUGCAGACGUUGCUGAAUACCGGCGCCGACAGUCUCGCGCGUAUCUUCUACGAGGUGCCGAGUCUCGACGUGGUCCUGAGCGCCGUUCUUGCGAACGGCUUCAUGACCUUGGUGCCGGGUAGCUCCAUCGCGAAACGGUAUGCGAAGGACUUGUCUAUUCGGCCUGGGCUGCCAGUGAAGCCCCAGCUAGCGUACCCGACGAGCAGUAUCACCGUCAUUCUGGACCGUCUGCAGGGCAAGAAGUUCACGUCGGAGUACAAGUACGACGGCGAGCGCGCGCAGAUCCACUAUGACAAAGACAAAGGCUUCCAUAUAUUUUCUCGCAACUCCGAGACCCACACCGGCAAAUACCCGGACGUCAUUUCCAUGCUGCCAAAGGUCUUUGACCCAGUCGAAGUACAGUCUUUCAUCCUCGAUUCGGAGGUUGUGGCGGUGCAUCCGGAGACCGGGGCCCUUCAGGCAUUCCAAGUGCUGCAGCAUCGCGGCCGAAAGAACAUUGCAGAGGAGGAUGUCAGCAUUCCCGUCUGCGUGUUUGUGUUUGAUAUCUUGUAUUUCAACGGAGAGCCGCAACUGAAUAAGACACUGCAGCAGCGUCGCGAGCUGCUGUGGCGGUGCAUCCAUCCCCUUCCGGCAAAGCUGUCCUUUGCCACUUACUUGGAUUCCGACAAGGUCGAGGACAUGCAAACGUUUUUGGAGAGGUCCAUCGCGGACGGCUGCGAAGGAUUAAUGGUGAAGACGCUCGAUGAGGAGGCCAACUACACCCCCGCCAAGCGCUCGCACUACUGGCUGAAGCUGAAGAAGGACUACAUGGACGGCGUCACCGAUACGCUGGAUCUUGUCCCCAUCGCCGCGUUCCACGGCAAGGGCAAGCGAACUGGCGUGUUCGGCGGCUUCCUGCUGGCGUGCUACGACCCGAAGGCGGACGAGUACCAGAGCAUCUGCAAAAUCGGCACCGGCUUCCAGGACGAAGAGCUGGAGAAGCUCACGCAGUCCCUUAAGCCGUUCGUGGUGGACGACAAGCCGCGCUACUACCGCGCAGGUGGGGAGGAGCCGGAUGUUUGGCUCACCGAGGCGCAGGUGUGGGAGGUGAAGGCGGCGGACCUGUCAGUGUCGCCAGUUCAUCAGGCAGCCGUGGGGCUUGUGGACCCCAGCAAAGGCAUCGCGCUGCGCUUUCCUCGCUACCUGCGCCAGCGCGAGGACAAGAAACCCGCAGACGCCACAAAUGCACAGCAGGUGGCGGACAUGUACAAGGCGCAGUCCUUGGCAGUGCAGCACGAAGCGAACGGGGACGCCGAGUGAGCUGUCACGCUGAAAGAGACGCGCUGGCGCAUCUCGCGAUCGCUCUUUGUCGCCAAAGUCUCUCUCGUUGCGAGCGGCGUUCUUGGCCACAUUUGCUUUCUUCUUCACUUAUCCUGCAGCGCACAUGCAGCGUGGGCGUCAAGUCGGAGGCGCCCUGAGAGGUCCGCGGUGAAUAACCCCAUCAUAGCCGCGCGUUCCCACC
This 2793-nucleotide unclassified non-coding RNA is filed under the name Leishmania donovani. RNAcentral describes it as "gene:LdHU3.30.4650(CDS-product:DNA_ligase_I_putat ive)". The record is from RNAcentral. Lineage: Eukaryota; Euglenozoa; Kinetoplastea; Trypanosomatida; Trypanosomatidae.